This 260-nucleotide ribosomal RNA is filed under the name Isospora sp. Tui. RNAcentral's name for it is "partial 18S ribosomal RNA". It matches the Rfam family "Eukaryotic small subunit ribosomal RNA", at positions 1290 to 1571 of the family's 1831-position model. The record is from RNAcentral. Lineage: Eukaryota; Apicomplexa; Conoidasida; Eucoccidiorida; Eimeriidae.
GUUCUUAGUUGGUGGAGUGAUCUGUCUGGUUAAUUUCGAUAACGAACGAGACCUUAGCCUGCUAAAUAGGAUCAGAGACUUUGGUUUCUGUAUCACUUCUUAGAGGGACUUUGCGUGUCUAACGCAAGGAAGUUUGAGGCAAUAACAGGUCUGUGAUGCCCUUAGAUGUUCUGGGCUGCACGCGCGCUACACUGAUGCACUCAACGAGUUUUUGACCUUGGCCGACAGGUCUAGGUAAUCUUUUGAGUAUGCAUCGUGAU